This 484-nucleotide ribosomal RNA is filed under the name uncultured bacterium. Its description in RNAcentral is "bacterial SSU rRNA". It matches the Rfam family "Bacterial small subunit ribosomal RNA", at positions 143 to 645 of the family's 1533-position model. The record is from RNAcentral.
ACAACCAUGGGAAACUGUGGCUAAUACCGCAUACGCCCUUGGACCAGGGAUGGUCCUUGGGGAAAGAUUUAUUGCCGUUGGAGGGGCCCGCGUCGGAUUAGGUAGUUGGUGGGGUAAAGGCCUACCAAGCCUGCGAUCCGUAGCUGGUCUGAGAGGAUGAUCAGCCACACUGGGACUGAGACACGGCCCAGACUCCUACGGGAGGCAGCAGUGGGGAAUAUUGGACAAUGGGGGCAACCCUGAUCCAGCAAUGCCGCGUGAGUGAAGAAGGCCUUAGGGUUGUAAAUCUCUUUCACCGGGGAAGAUAAUGACGGUACCCGGAGAAGAAGCCCCGGCUAACUCCGUGCCAGCAGCCGCGGUAAUACGGAGGGGGCUAGCGUUGUUCGGAAUUACUGGGCGUAAAGCGCGCGUAGGCGGCUCGUCUAGUUGGGCGUGAAAGCCCGGGGCUCAACCCCGGAAUUGCGUUCAAUACUGGCGAGCUGGA